CGGGUGAGUAACACGUAUCCAACCUGCCGUCUACUCUUGGACUGCCUUCUGAAAGGAAGAUUAAUACAAGAUGGCAUCAUGAGUUCACAUGCUCACAUGAUUAAAGGUAUUCCGGUAGACGAUGGGGAUGCGUUCCAUUAGAUAGUAGGCGGGGUAACGGCCCACCUAGUCUUCGAUGGAUAGGGGUUCUGAGAGGAAGGUCCCCCACAUUGGAACUGAGACACGGUCCAA
This 231-nucleotide ribosomal RNA is filed under the name uncultured bacterium. Its description in RNAcentral is "partial 16S ribosomal RNA". It matches the Rfam family "Bacterial small subunit ribosomal RNA", at positions 103 to 334 of the family's 1533-position model. The record is from RNAcentral.